Molecule: long non-coding RNA, 1968 nt
Filed under: Mus musculus (house mouse)
Lineage: Eukaryota; Metazoa; Chordata; Mammalia; Rodentia; Muridae
Description: long non-coding RNA chr3:36097176-36099144
Source: RNAcentral
GCUCACGGUCAGCAACAUUCAUUGUCCCAGUGCCAGCAUGUCUCACCAAUUGCUCUGGCAGCUACCAUGCUCCUGCAGCAUCCUGAGGAAAAAAAACCAAAAACAUGCCCUCUUCCCCAUAUUGAUACCUGCCUGAUUGGGACUAUGCCAUAUGCCAGUAAGUGGAUCCUUCCAUUUCACCUAGGAAUAAGUAUGCCAAGUUGUACAGUGUCAUAAACAUUCAGAAGAGAGUUCCUUGGCAUCCAAAUUUUAUUUUAUUUUAUUUUUUAAAUUUUAAAAUAAAAAGUACAUGAUUUAAACAAAUUUGUGGUGUACAGGAAUAUAAUUCUCCCUUUUUAUUAUAUGAAGAUAUUGUUUUAAAGUUCCAUAAGCCUGUUCCAUGAUACCUUGUCUUUGAGGAUUUUAAUGAAUCCUAGUAAUAUGGGCAAUAUUACAUUGUCAAGUACUUAACUGCAAUAGGCAGUUCUAUUAUCUGUUUUAAUCUGAUUUGGAACACCUAGCAUAGAGAAACAAUGUAGGCAAUGAGUAAUUACAUUUUUAGUUGAUUUCCCUGUUAAAGCAGUUACAACAAGAAAGCCUGAGAAGGUGACAAUAGUCACAUGAACAUAUUUUAAAUUUCCAAAAUCAGAAAUAUGAAUAAAAUCCAUUUGUCAGAAUUUAUUAGGCAUGAGUCCUCGAGGAUUAACACUAUUAUGUGAUAAAUAAAUAGAGGAUACCGAGGACAAGUCUUUACAAUGUGAUGUGUACAUUCUCUAGAAAUACCAAAAUAUUGUCUCAAGCUAUUACUAUUUUGAUGAUGUAAAGAAUGAGGUUGUUUGGCUAAUUGUUCCUGUGUAAAGCCUAUAAUCUGCCUGGUAUGCAAAUCUGCUGUGGCAUUGCCCUCACUAAGGGGUCCUGGAAAUCCAGUAUGAGCUCUUUAAUGUCCUAUAAAGUAAGGAAGAAUGCAUUCUCUUACAUUAAGUUGUAUUUGCGUAAAUAAUUGCAAAAUUUGAGAAUUAGCAGUAUCUAAAGAGGAAUAGUUUCAAGCAAUUCUAAACCAUGAGCUAUCAGUAUACAAAUUGAAAGCUUGAUUUUUUAACAUUUCAAAAACAGGAGCCAUAGCAUGUUAUUCAAUUAUUUGUGCUGAAGCAGGGGGAAACUCUGCCACAGACCACCCCAGCAGGGUAUGGGGGGGGCAGUCACUGGGAUGUGGGUUCUCAAGGCCAGGUGGGUUAGAAUUCGGUGGUGACAAACAGAAACAAACACAGAGACUGCUACGCUCUCUGGUCGAGUCAACUGGACAAGCCGAAAGGCUUAAAAGUCACUCAUGAGGCAAAAGAGUUUCAAGGAAGCUCUCCUCCUGGAGGCUAGUGUUCUCUACCCAUACAUUAAUUUUUCAUUCCCGAGUUCCAGUACCACGGUAGUCUAGAGUAUGGAUCCACGUGCUCUCUUUCAGUAUUUUCCUAUAAGUGCUCUGACAUGGCUAAAGCCUUCCACCAGUGUUCCAACAGUCCAAGGGUGUCUGUCCUUGACCAAGAUCAAGGGUUUAGAAUUCAGCAAGAUUGUAAAAGCUAAGUCACUCCCUUACACAGGAAUUUACCAUCACUUAGGAAGAAGGAAGUUUCAGACCAAAGGAGAAACCAGAAUAGAUACUAUAGCAGAGUUACACCCAUACACAUAUUUACAAUGGCCUAAGGGGAAGGUGGACUAUACAAGAGACUAAAAUAGGAACUGUGGCAAGGACUCGAAGCCCUUGACCCUGGCUUCUAAGAUUAGUGAAUUUUAGGUGGAGCCCUUGUUGAUCCCAGCUGUUAUCAAUGUAUUCUAUCCUGGGUGGUUCCCGUUAGACCUUUUGUGUUUGCAUUCCUCUGUUUUAUGUAAGAUUCCGGUUACCUCAAUUGUACCUUGCGAAUAUGUCACCCAACUUCCUUAUUGUCCUCUGCAUAAAAAGUCUGAUGCUCGAGUUGUAAAAUUACAUUCAGAUUCCAC